GAGCCGGUACAGGACAGGUCGUCUGAUGGCUCUCAGUCGUCGUGGAUACACUGCCGGACCAGGGGAUCGGUCUGAUGACGACUCCUUCCCUCCUCAAUUUUCUCUCCACAAUCUUAACCAUCCGAGCUCCGUAGAAACUGUCGCCACAGAUCCCUGGAUGCGGCCAGGAACAUCGGACACACUGAAAUGUUCGGACCGUCCAUCGAGGAGGGAGUGGUUGGCAACAUAGGACCGACCCUGUUGCUCAAACCUGAGAGGUUCCUCGUACUUUUGGAAGUCAGUUGUACCACAGACUUCCCUGUCUUUGAAUUAUGAGACUAGGACGGGUUUUAACUCGUGGCUUUUGUGACAAAUGGAUGCCAGUAUGAAUGACAAAUGAUACCUGUUAUGUACUUUUAUUUGACCAAUGACUAAAUUAUGUUUUAAAUAAAUGUAUAAUUAUAAACUGUAGGGUGAUACUUUGCAUCCUUUGACAAGCCAUCACAGCCUCAACUCUACAAAAGUUUAACGUGAUGUUUUCCAACACAUUACUUUUAUAAUAUUUAAGAUCAUACAUAGUUUGAUGAUCUCUGCGAUAUCUUUCUGGUCAGCAGCCAAAUUAGCUUAGCUUAGCUUAGACUGGAAAUUGGGGAGGGACUGUUAGCCUGUCUCUUUCAAAGGUAACAAAAUCAGCCUACCAGCACCUCUAAAGCCGACUAAUUUACAUGUCAUCACUGUUUUACAUGUUUAUGUCACUUUUGUUUUAGUCCAUACACAAAUGUCAGGCUGUGGUUGGUGACUAUGUGCUGGACUGUUUCUUCGCUAGACACAGUGACUUCCUGUCAAGAUAUAGUAAAUUGUAUAUUUUCCAAAAUG
Xiphias gladius (swordfish) is the source of this 855-nucleotide long non-coding RNA. RefSeq lists it as uncharacterized. The record is from RefSeq and is a predicted model, not a curated record. The transcript is spliced from 2 exons. NCBI's taxonomy places the organism in Eukaryota, Metazoa, Chordata, Actinopteri, Istiophoriformes, Xiphiidae.